Molecule: transfer RNA, 73 nt
Filed under: Bos taurus (domestic cattle)
Lineage: Eukaryota; Metazoa; Chordata; Mammalia; Artiodactyla; Bovidae
Also listed under: 1 other name
Rfam family: tRNA
About the family: Transfer RNA (tRNA) molecules are approximately 80 nucleotides in length. Their secondary structure includes four short double-helical elements and three loops (D, anti-codon, and T loops).
Source: Rfam by way of RNAcentral
UCCCUGGUGGUCCAGUGGAUAAGACUCUGAGCUUCCACUGCAGAAGGCACAGGUUCAAUCCCUGGUCAGAGAA